RNAcentral lists this ribosomal RNA (360 nucleotides) under Triticum aestivum (bread wheat). RNAcentral's name for it is "partial small subunit ribosomal RNA". Lineage: Eukaryota; Viridiplantae; Streptophyta; Magnoliopsida; Poales; Poaceae. The record is from RNAcentral.
AUGUUUGCAUCUUAUACUACAGAGAGUUCUCUAAUAUCGGUUAGAAGUCCUCUUUAUAAAGCAGAGCUUAGUUGUAUUUUGAAGGAAACAAGGAUGUAUCUAAUCGUUGCUCCCGGCUCCUUCUUCCAUCCCCCUAUGAUCGAAUCUUUCUUUUUUUCGAAACGGAGGCAAAAGAUUUGCCUCUACCUAUUAGUUAAGCAGAAGAGAAUUGCCCAGUUAAUUUGCAUAAAAUCGGGCGAAAACCAUCUAUUACCAAAUCUUCACCAUCCUUGCAUCCAUCCCUUUUCAAGCCAUCCUUUAGAAGUCCUCUAUAAAGCAGAGCCUAGUUGUAUUUUGAAGGAAACCAGAAAUGUAUUUUAG